UACACUCCUGCGGGAGGCAGCAGUGGGGAAUAUUGCACAAUGGGCGCAAGCCUGAUGCAGCGACGCCGCGUGGGGGAUGAAGGCCUUCGGGUUGUAAACUCCUUUCGCUAGGGACGAAGCUUUUUUGUGACGGUACCUAGAUAAGAAGCACCGGCUAACUACGUGCCAGCAGCCGCGGUAAUACGUAGGGUGCGAGCGUUGUCCGGAAUUACUGGGCGUAAAGGGCUCGUAGGUGGUUUGUCGCGUCGUCUGUGAAAUUCUGGGGCUUAACUCCGGGCGUGCAGGCGAUACGGGCAUAACUUGAGUGCUGUAGGGGUAACUGGAAUUCCUGGUGUAGCGGUGAAAUGCGCAGAUAUCAGGAGGAACACCGAUGGCGAAGGCAGGUUACUGGGCAGUUACUGACGCUGAGGAGCGAAAGCAUGGGUAGCGAACAGGAUUAGAAACCCCUGUAGUCCC
This 456-nucleotide ribosomal RNA is filed under the name uncultured organism. RNAcentral describes it as "partial 16S ribosomal RNA". It matches the Rfam family "Bacterial small subunit ribosomal RNA", at positions 332 to 797 of the family's 1533-position model. The record is from RNAcentral.